GAUGAACGCUGGCGGCGUGCCUAACACAUGCAAGUCGAGCGAGAAGUAAAGAAAUGAAGCUUCGGUAGAUUUUCAUUAUGGAAAGCGGCGGACGGGUGAGUAACGCGUAGGCAACCUGCCCUGUACAGGGGGAUAGCCACCCGAAAAGGUGAUUAAUACCCCAUAAAGCAAGAGAUACACAUGUAUCACUUGUCAAAGAUUUAUCGGUAUGGGAUGGGGCUGCGUCUGAUUAGCUAGUUGGUAGGGUAACGGCUUACCAAGGCAACGAUCAGUAGCCGACCUGAGAGGGUGAUCGGCCACAUUGGAACUGAGACACGGUCCAAACUCCUACGGGAGGCAGCAGUGGGGAAUAUUGCACAAUGAGGGAAACCCUGAUGCAGCAACGCCGCGUGAAGGAAGAAGGCCUUCGGGUUGUAAACUUCUGUCCUAGGGGAAGAAACAAAUGACAUACCCUGAGGAGCCCC
This 464-nucleotide ribosomal RNA is filed under the name [Eubacterium] infirmum. RNAcentral's name for it is "bacterial SSU rRNA". It matches the Rfam family "Bacterial small subunit ribosomal RNA", at positions 28 to 494 of the family's 1533-position model. Lineage: Bacteria; Bacillati; Bacillota; Clostridia; Peptostreptococcales; Anaerovoracaceae. The record is from RNAcentral.